Molecule: long non-coding RNA, 586 nt
Filed under: Gallus gallus (chicken)
Lineage: Eukaryota; Metazoa; Chordata; Aves; Galliformes; Phasianidae
Source: RNAcentral
AGCACUAUGUUCCAGCUAACAGUUUGGCUAGAGAAAGCACUAUUUAAUAGAUCAACCUAUUGAUACCCUGGAAAAAAAUACAGGAGAGGAAAGUGCAUGUGAAAAUGGAUGUUUGAUUUCAUUUUCUUUCUCUAAAGCUGGAAAAUAACCGGCAAUGAAUGAAAUGAGGUGAGCACACAGCUUGCAAUUUAGAAAUUUGCUUUACAGUUUUCUUACCUGCUUUCUCCAAUCAUGAACAUAUACAACAUACAAGUGUAUUUUUAGAAGCAGUGAUAUGAAAAUGUAAAUAUAAAAUGAAUAAUUUCUACCAAUUUAACAGGAAUUUUAAUUUCCUGCCAUGGAGGCUUCUUUAGGUUACUUUUAAAUAGAAAGUUGAUAAGGAGACUUGCAACUGAGUAUGAGAUAAACAUAUGUGUACUGCAUUUCAGGUUUAAAGUGGACUUAAUCCCAAAAUAAGUGUUAGUUUAAGAGGUACUGCUUUCAACAAUUUGCAGAUAAAAUACAAAAAGUCCAAAUACAACAGGUUACUUUUCUGUAUAAAAUUACCUAAGGAUACACAGGUGCCACCUUCCUCCCUCCCUUCUCC